CCUACGGGGGGCUGCAGUAGGGAAUAUUGGACAAUGGGGGAAACCCUGAUCCAGCAAUGCCGCGUGAGUGAUGAAGGCCUUAGGGUUGUAAAGCUCUUUUACCCGAGAUGAUAAUGACAGUAUCGGGAGAAUAAGCUCCGGCUAACUCCGUGCCAGCAGCCGCGGUAAUACGGAGGGAGCUAGCGUUGUUCGGAAUUACUGGGCGUAAAGCGCACGUAGGCGGCGAUCUAAGUCAGAGGUGAAAGCCCGGGGCUCAACCCCGGAAUUGCCUUUGAGACUGGAUUGCUAGAAUCCGGGAGAGGUGAGUGGAAUUCCGAGUGUAGAGGUGAAAUUCGUAGAUAUUCGGAAGAACACCAGUGGCGAAGGCGGCUCACUGGACCGGCAUUGACGCUGAGGUGCGAAAGCGUGGGGAGCAAACAGGAUUAGAUACCCUUGUAGUC
This 440-nucleotide ribosomal RNA is filed under the name uncultured Sphingobium sp. RNAcentral describes it as "bacterial SSU rRNA". It matches the Rfam family "Bacterial small subunit ribosomal RNA", at positions 338 to 795 of the family's 1533-position model. The record is from RNAcentral. Lineage: Bacteria; Pseudomonadati; Pseudomonadota; Alphaproteobacteria; Sphingomonadales; Sphingobiaceae.